GGUAUCGCCAAGCGGUAAGGCAACGGACUCUGACUCCGUCAUUCAAAGGUUCGAAUCCUUUUACCC
Molecule: transfer RNA, 66 nt
Filed under: Veillonella seminalis
Lineage: Bacteria; Bacillati; Bacillota; Negativicutes; Veillonellales; Veillonellaceae
Also listed under: 1 other name
Rfam family: tRNA
About the family: Transfer RNA (tRNA) molecules are approximately 80 nucleotides in length.
Source: RNAcentral